ACAGUGCCAUAUUUGGGUUACUGUUCAGAGUAGAUCGUUCGUUUUACAUUCGAGAAGAGUUUACAUAUUACUUGAAUGAAGAGGAUAACAUAAUACUGAGGUAAAAAUUUUGUGUAAAGUAUGUUUUCAGUUUAGUUUACAAUACAAGCUGUAAAUGUGCUGGAGAUUUUAUUGAUGUUGAAGCUUGUAAACAAAACCAAUAAACGUAGGACUUAUUCACGGCAAUGUAUGGGAACCAGAGCUGGGAACCAGUCUAGAAGGCAAAGAAAAAUUCCGCCAAGUAAACAACAAAGAAAGGGAUUUGGGAUGUUGUCAGUUGUAUACAUUAUGUGGGCCGGUGACUGCAAGAAGCAAGGAAUGUGGAGCUAAUGCAUCCUGCUAAGGAUGGAAAGUUCUUGUGUUUAUUGGUUGUUCCUGAGACACCAGUCACAGUUGUACCUUAUUUCCAUUUUAGAAGCAAGGAAUGUGGAGCUAAUGCAUGCUGCUAAGGAUGGAAAGGUCUUGUGUAUAUUGGUUGUGCCUGAGACACCAGUCACAGUUGUACUUUAUUUUCAUUUUAGGUA
Saccostrea cuccullata (small rock oyster) is the source of this 563-nucleotide long non-coding RNA. RefSeq lists it as uncharacterized. The transcript has 3 exons. The record is from RefSeq and is a predicted model, not a curated record. Lineage: Eukaryota; Metazoa; Mollusca; Bivalvia; Ostreida; Ostreidae.